RNAcentral lists this transfer RNA (77 nucleotides) under Marmota marmota marmota (Alpine marmot). It matches the Rfam family "tRNA". From Rfam's summary of the family: Transfer RNA (tRNA) molecules are approximately 80 nucleotides in length. Their secondary structure includes four short double-helical elements and three loops (D, anti-codon, and T loops). Further hydrogen bonds mediate the characteristic L-shaped molecular structure. tRNAs have two regions of fundamental functional importance: the anti-codon, which is responsible for specific mRNA codon recognition, and the 3' end, to which the tRNAs corresponding amino acid is attached (by aminoacyl-tRNA synthetases). tRNAs cope with the degeneracy of the genetic code in two manners: having more than one tRNA (with a specific anti-codon) for a particular amino acid; and 'wobble' base-pairing, i.e. permitting non-standard base-pairing at the 3rd anti-codon position. Lineage: Eukaryota; Metazoa; Chordata; Mammalia; Rodentia; Sciuridae. The record is from Rfam by way of RNAcentral. RNAcentral also lists the same sequence under 3 other names.
UGGGUUGUGGCUCAGUGGUAGAGCGCUUGCCUAGUCUAGCAUGCAUGAGGGACUGGGUUCAUUCCCCAGCACCAUAU